Molecule: transfer RNA, 85 nt
Filed under: Pelagibacterium halotolerans
Lineage: Bacteria; Pseudomonadati; Pseudomonadota; Alphaproteobacteria; Hyphomicrobiales; Devosiaceae
Also listed under: 2 other names
Description: tRNA-Leu
Rfam family: tRNA
About the family: Transfer RNA (tRNA) molecules are approximately 80 nucleotides in length. Their secondary structure includes four short double-helical elements and three loops (D, anti-codon, and T loops).
Source: RNAcentral
GCGGGUGUGGUGGAAUUGGUAGACGCGCUGGACUCAAAAUCCAGUUCCGAAAGGAGUGCCGGUUCGAUCCCGGCCACCCGCACCA